This 188-nucleotide non-coding RNA is filed under the name Lysobacteraceae bacterium SCN 69-123. RNAcentral's name for it is "Xanthomonadaceae bacterium SCN 69-123 6S RNA". It matches the Rfam family "6S / SsrS RNA". Rfam says of the family: E. coli 6S RNA was the first non coding RNA to be sequenced, but its function was unknown until recently. It consists of 184 nucleotides that fold into an extended hairpin structure with a large single-stranded internal bulge. The 6S RNA specifically associates with RNA polymerase holoenzyme containing the sigma70 specificity factor. The record is from RNAcentral. Lineage: Bacteria; Pseudomonadati; Pseudomonadota; Gammaproteobacteria; Lysobacterales; Lysobacteraceae.
CGUCCUCUGCCGUGCCGCCAGCGGAAACUUACAUAUUGCCUUGACCCUAAAUAACGACCCCGGGAGCGCGAUACCGGGCCCAGCGUGCAAGUCCGCCACGCAGCGGAAAGCCCAAGGGCCUGUGAGCAAUCCCACCUGAUCCCUGGGAUCAAGGUCGUUCGUUUUCGCAACGGCACGGUGGAGGAUCU